CAUGGUUUUUCUCAACCCAUGAAAAAUGCUGAUAUGCUGACUGCACUGGGAAGAAUGCAAUAUUAAUCACAGUAGAGCUGCAAUUACAAAUGUAAGAUAUUUCAGCUAAGCAGAAAGGAUAGUCUCUCACGCCUAAGGCACUGAUGGGAUGGGUGACCAGAAAAGUGGAUGACCAACUCUGUAUGGUGAUGCAUAGGUACCUUGUGAUGGUGCACAGUCCAGAGCAACUGAGUUUUGCGGAUUGUGUUGAAAGUGUCAGAAGACCUUGA
RNAcentral lists this long non-coding RNA (269 nucleotides) under Anas platyrhynchos platyrhynchos (common mallard). Its description in RNAcentral is "lncRNA (ENSAPLG00000029343.1)". Lineage: Eukaryota; Metazoa; Chordata; Aves; Anseriformes; Anatidae. The record is from RNAcentral.